GAAUUUACAGUUGUGUCUCUAAUGCUCUUUUCUUUAACUUACAGAAGCUGUUCCUCGCCCUGGAUUCUUUUAGGCCGGAGAAGAACAAUUUUGAGGCCAUGAUUUCUUAUUAUGGUAAAAUCCUAUAUUAAUUACCAGUUCCUUAAGUUGUUCUGCUUUACAGCUUUUCACUGGAAAUAGAGACUGUAACCCCCCAGCAUCCCCAUUUAAAUUCAGCACUUUUAUCUUGCUGCACCUUGAUUCACCCAAGCCACUUUCCUGGUACCUGACUGCCCAUGUGCUUAGCCUGAAUCAGUAAAAGUGAUACCUGGGAGCAGCACCCCCCACCCUUGAUCACCCAUCCCUCCUGCCACAGUGAAGCGAGUGGGGGGAAUCAGGGUUAAUGGGUAGGGAGGGGUGAUAAGGAGCUAAAGCAGUGAUGCCAUGCAGUGUUUAAGACUUUCCACAAGCUCCAGUACAACCCCAUUAAAUGGGAAGUUGUCUACAGAACAUAACACUAGCACAAAAGUGCAAUCAUGGCGUCUCUAAUUGGCUGUAAAAGGCUGUAGCGUUAGUUUAUUAUUGUUGAAUUCCUUUCCCUCUUUCAGCUCAAUGUUUAAAGGAAAUGUAUUUUUCUCUGCAGAAGAUUACUACAGAUACCAUUCUCUGGAAGAGGAAAACCUGUAAGUAAAACAUAAAUAGUCUUAUUACAUGUUGGGAAUUGUUUACCACUGCCAGGAGGGUAAGUGCAAGAGCAGUAAGGGUGGAAAUUCGCACCCCUUAGGGCAGUGACCCACUGGGAGAUUAGUCGCCACGUGACUUUCUGUGUUUGGCGUCACACUGUAUCCGCUAUAAUGAAUAGGUGCAUCUACAGUAGAAAUACAAAGGAAUAGUAGACAUAACCUAUUGUUAAUGCUCAGUGGGAAUUCUUUUUCAGGAAAGAUUUUCUGCUUUGUUACACCAUCGAGAACAUCGCCGAUGACGAGAACAUCCCCAAUUAUUUUGUCAUGAUUGAUAAUCUGAGGAAACUGGAAGUACUCGAGGGGAUGUAUUUUAUUGCGUGCCCUCUUGCGUCACCAACGACGCAAGAAGGACAAAACCUGCGCAGCCAGUAUGAGGCACUGGUAAUUCUUCAUACAGUAAGUUCCCUGGAUCACCGUCCCUUGUGCUUUGUUGUAGAUUUAUUGCCAAAUGUGCUUUAAUCAGCUGAUU
Molecule: long non-coding RNA, 1191 nt
Organism: Xenopus tropicalis (tropical clawed frog)
Lineage: Eukaryota; Metazoa; Chordata; Amphibia; Anura; Pipidae
Exons: 3
Source: RefSeq, a predicted model, not a curated record